GCAGCAGUGGAUAGACACUGGCUGACGACGACGACGCACGUGCUCCUACUCUCGUAAUCAGCCAGCGUGCAUCCACUGCGGG
RNAcentral lists this microRNA precursor (82 nucleotides) under Petromyzon marinus (sea lamprey). RNAcentral describes it as "microRNA pma-mir-4605 precursor". The record is from miRBase by way of RNAcentral. Lineage: Eukaryota; Metazoa; Chordata; Hyperoartia; Petromyzontiformes; Petromyzontidae.